UACGUAGGUGGCAAGCGUUGUCCGGAUUUAUUGGGUUUAAAGGGUGCGUAGGCGGCCCUGUAAGUCAGUGCUGAAAUAUCCCGGCUUAACCGGGAGGGUGGCAUUGAUACUGCAGGGCUUGAGUGAAGUCGAGGUAGGCGGAAUUGACGGUGUAGCGGUGAAAUGCGCAGAUAUCGGGAGGAACACCGGUGGCGAAGGCGGCUCUCUGGACCUGUCCUGACGCUGAGGCGCGAAAGCUAGGGGAGCGAACAGG
RNAcentral lists this ribosomal RNA (253 nucleotides) under uncultured bacterium. RNAcentral describes it as "partial 16S ribosomal RNA". It matches the Rfam family "Bacterial small subunit ribosomal RNA", at positions 524 to 776 of the family's 1533-position model. The record is from RNAcentral.